AUAUAAUUAUAAUAGGGUAUAAUUAUAAAGUUACGCUCGUUAAGAAUAUUUGCAAUGUUAAAUACCAAGAUCUUUAUAGCUAUUAGGACAGAAAAGUAAUUUAUCAUUGAGAUAUUAUGCAGCGAUACAAGAAACAUAAUCAUAUAUAUUGGCAUUUAUAUGCGCGAUUUGAUAAAUCCAGUCUCGGUUAUAGACGCGGUUCGGGCCGCGAUGGAACGUAAAGAGCAAAUUGUGUAAUUUAUUGGUGGAUUGUGAGACGGCGCGAUCCUGCAGUCAUUUUUGGACUAUCGUAUAAAAUUCCAAUAUGCGAUACCAUUCCGUUUUAUUGAAUAAAACGGAUGGAAAGGUGAGAAGUUAUAUAUGCGCGUGGGAAGGAAACGUAACAUUAUUUCUUUGCAGUCAAUCGAAUGAAAUAUGAAUCAACGAGCAUCCCUGGGGAGAUAAACACAGUUAAGCUUCUUAAAUUUUUUAUCUCCUAAAAAGCGGUAAUGAUAUUUCUUACGUAAAAUGGACAGUGAUAGAGAAGUUCCUUUCUCAAAGUGUGAUUACAAUUUGAUUGCUUUAAACGGUGAAUUAAAAAGAUUUUCCGCAAACUUUAAAACGCGUCUUUCUUGCACAAGAAUAUCUUAUCACAAAAAUAUUAUAUAAUUAAAUAUUAUAUAUUUUUUAUUUAAAUAAUUUUUUUUUAGCAUACAUUUCUCCUAAAUUAAUUUUAAUAUAUAACGAAAAUGUUUCUGAAAGAUUAAUUUGGACCAUUCCAUGAUGUAAAUCUGGAAUAUAAAAUCGAUAUCGUACUUUUAUCUUUACAGUGAAUGAUUUCAAGCUAUUAUAAGUGAUUUGAAACAUUCAUGAAUGUGACCAUUACGCUAGUUUGAAUGGACAAGUAAACACGAUUUUAUGCGAUACGAACAUUUUAACGUGCGUGCCGAUAUACACCGACAUUCGAAAUAUUGAUACUCGUCGAGAGAGCCAUUACAAAUUUUAGAAGACCGAGUAAAAUUACAAUCAAGUGGCAAGCGUGAAUCGCAAAAGUCAUUAUUACAUAUAAUAUACUUUUAGAUUUUUUUAAAUAUAUUUAAAUUAUAUCAGUGCUAUAUAUAUUUUUUAAAAACCUUUUUAGUUAAUAUAUUAUAACAACAGUUUCAUAUUAAUACUCAAAACACUACCGCAAUAAUUGUAGUGAUAAAUCUCUCGCGAAGUGUGAUAGAAACUGCAGAACUAUAGAAAAUAUGUUUGAAAUUGUGGAAAAAAGUGGUUGACUUUAUCGUAGCACAGUUAUCAACUAAAGCGACAUUAGGAAAUUAAUGAGCAGUGAACAAAACCUAUAUUCAUCAGUGCAGUUAUGUGACAAGGGUUUGAUAAAGUGACAUUUGAAAAUGAUGUGUAACGUCCGGUGUAGGAUACUUUCGCCGAUAUGAGCGCUUGAGUCGACGUGGGGUGGAAUGACGAAAGAUCGACGAGCACACGAGCGCGACAAGAAAAUGUCGAUUCAAGAACGCAAUCUAUCCGAUAACCUGGUUUCCACCGAAUAUUUUGGUGUUUUAGUGGUCGAUGACGGCUCGCCGAUCGUUACCGACCUUCCCCGGUUCUCCACCGUCACUUCCGAAAUUGCCAACGUCACCACGCCAGUCAUUUCACAAUCGUCGGUUCAAGACAGCCUCCUGGAGAAUCUCAUUAUACCGUUAUACGGUACAAUCUUCUUCCUUUCCAUCGUCGGGAAUUCUUUGGUGCUCAUCACCCUGGCGAGGAACAAACGGAUGCGGACAGUGACAAAUGUCUAUCUGCUAAACUUGGUAAGUCCUUGUUGUAAUCCACUUGACUUCUCUCUCUCUCUCUUUCUCUUUUUCUCUCUCUUUCUGUAAAAUGAAGAAUACAGAAAUCUUCCAUAAAUGUUAGACUAGCGCAUCUAGUUACAAGGAGAGGAUAAAAAGACUUUAAUUAUAAAAUUUUCAAUUUUGAACUUUAGUAUUUACCAUCAACGCAAAUUAAUUUUGAGAGCGCUUUAUGUUUACUUAACAUAAAUAAUAAUUAUUUUUCCAAUUUACUUUAAAUAAAAUGUUUUUACAGCAUACUGUUAUAUAUAUUUCUUAUAUAAAAUUAAUUACGCACACAAUCUUAAAUAAUACUAUGACGCAGAUAGUGCAGUGAUGCAUAUAAUCAUUUUCCUUUCCCGAAAAGGAAUAUGAACCCAACUGUUUAUUCAUGAAUAUGCAAUUCUAUCGUCGUUUAAAAUUCACAUGAUGACAUGCUUUGUUAUUGAUGUGGAAAACAAUGAAGAAAUUGUUUAUCGAAGAGUUCACCAUCAGCGAUUGAUUUAGUGCCCAUAUAUUGCAAACUUUAUGUCCAGAAAUAUUGUUGACAGCAACAGUUCGAUAACAUUGAAUUGUUUUGUAAUCGAUAUUAAUUGAAUCGAAUCGAGCUAAAUAGUUUUCUGGCGUGCUCGCCCGAAAUUGAAAUUUUUGUGAAAAUUGUUUCGAUUUACUUUAUGCUGAGUUUAUCAUUCAUGGCAAAACAAUGUUAAUUAAUUUCUUAUACUAGCACAGUAAUUAGAUUUUAUAUGAACAUAGAUGUGCUAUUCUUUAAUUUUACAAAUGAUUUUAUUAUGGAUUAUCUGUAUCUAUAUCGGUUAUCUCAAAUGCUAUAUUAUAAAUGUUGCUGGUUUAAUUUUUAAUUCAGAAAUACUGUGUGUGUGUGUAUAUAUACACGUGUUGCAAUACUAUAGCGCAAAAAAUAAAACAAGAGAAUACGGCGUCAAAAAAUAAUUAAAUUUUUUCGGAUCGCAAUUUUUCAUUUGACAAUGAUUUGCGCGGAUAAUACAUUAUAUAAAAAUAAUGAACAAAGUGUAUUUUAUCUAUAGAUCCAACUGAACAAUUUUUCAAAUCAAAAAUGAGAUAAAAUAUGAGAUAAAAUAUAUCGUUGCGUGUUCCGUUGCAUGCACGAAAUACUUCUUGCAAUUUUUACGAUGUCUCGUGCAGGUUUCUAUGCGAACGAAAAUAUCCGGUACGGUUCGCGCAUGGGUUA
Molecule: long non-coding RNA, 3021 nt
Organism: Formica exsecta
Lineage: Eukaryota; Metazoa; Arthropoda; Insecta; Hymenoptera; Formicidae
Exons: 3
Source: RefSeq, a predicted model, not a curated record